CAUGUAGGCGGAUUGAUAAGUUUGAAGUGAAAUCCUAUAGCUUAACUAUAGAACUGCUUUGAAAACUGUUAAUCUAGAAUGUGGGAGAGGUAGAUGGAAUUUCUGGUGUAGGGGUAAAUCCGUAGAGAUCAGAAGGAAUACCGAUUGCGAAGGCGAUCUACUGGAACAUUAUUGACGCUGAGAUGCGAAAGUGUGGGGAGCAAACA
RNAcentral lists this ribosomal RNA (206 nucleotides) under uncultured bacterium. Its description in RNAcentral is "partial 16S ribosomal RNA". It matches the Rfam family "Bacterial small subunit ribosomal RNA", at positions 568 to 774 of the family's 1533-position model. The record is from RNAcentral.